RNAcentral lists this unclassified non-coding RNA (522 nucleotides) under Hevea brasiliensis (rubber tree). The record is from RNAcentral. Lineage: Eukaryota; Viridiplantae; Streptophyta; Magnoliopsida; Malpighiales; Euphorbiaceae.
GUCUGCCUAUAUAAAUCCCCUCCAAAGCCUUAGCAAUUACCAUUCUCAUCUGGUUAUUCUUGCCCCUUUGUAGUCUCUUCUUUAACUAUUUAUAUGGCGAACUUGUCAGAAUUGCCAUCUCACCUCAUUAGUACAGUUGCCGAGCGUGUUAAAGUGAUUGAAGAUUUUAUUGCUUUUGGUGCUGUCUGCAUCUCAUGGCGAACUGCUGCCACUAAAGAUAAUUUUGAUGUAUACUCUCCACAAAUUCCAUUGCUUAUGCUAGCAGAUAAAGAUGAUGAUUAUCGAGAAUUUUACUCUCUUUCCAAAAACAAAAUUUCACGCAUAUUUCUCCCAGAAAUUAGAGGGCGAAGAUGUUUUCCAUCAGAGGGAGGUUGGAUGUUUACAGACUCAUGUACAGGAGAAUUUAACUUGUUUCAUCCAUUUUCCCGUACCCAGAUUCAACUUCCUUCACAAAACGCCCUAAAGGAGUCUUUACAGAAAGAUGCAGAAAUAACUCAUUACACAAUUGACAAAGCUGUCUUG